UCAAGCCGUGAACACAACAUGGCCACAUCACCCUUCAGGUUGAUAAGGCAAACAUGUUAGCAAACUGUAGCCUAUUUGCACAUCCAGCUGACACGGAGCAACACAAGCAUUCAUUUGGAGUCGCGCUUCUUGCCACAAGUCAAAUAUUCACUCUCCUUUUAGCUCUGUUUUUAGUCUCCACCAACUUCUGAAGAAAAUAAAUCUGACUGAGCUGCUAAAUGCUAUUCUGCUAUGUUGACAAGCUAGUGGAUAACUGUGUCUGUCUGCUGUUUCCUGCAGGCCAGCUUGUCUUCAGGUGAAGAGGACAUGAUGUGCUAUGAAGACUGUUAGCUGUGACUGAACCUCAGAAGACCGAACACAGAGGAUGCUUCAGGAGUUGAUGCGGAGACCUACAAUACCGGGAAACUGAACGCUGCUGACCACGUUCAUCUGACACAAGGAAGUGUUUCGGAAAACACAGUGCGCAGAUAAAACAUACACCAUCAUCAUACUUCCUUCUGUUUAACCAAACUAAAAUCUUUUCCAUCACUAUUCUCCUUGACAAGCCUCUGCUUAGUGCUUUGUCUCACUAGAUAAACUACAGAAGAAUUUGCUGGUUAGAUUACUAAUUUAACCUGGAAUAUGUAAAGCAGUUAAGUGGUAGAAGAAGCAUUGCUUUAUUCAAGAAAAAGUGGCAAGAAAUUCAAUCCCACAGUCAAAAUGUUACUGAAGUAAAUGUACAUAUGUAUCAGCAAAAUCUACUCAAGUAUCACAAGUAAAAGUCCUCUUUAUCCAGAAUAGCUCAUUUAAUAGUGUUAUUAGGCUGACAAAUACAUGUUUUGGAGCCAAAAAGUACACUAUUUUUUCCUUUAAAUGUAGUGCAGUUGACAGGCAUUGUACUUAAAUUAAUUUAGUUACUUUCCAUAACUGAUGCAAUGGAUUACACUAUUUACUAUAAUCCUCAUGAAUAUACAUAGAAUAGAAAUCACCUAAUUGCAUUAAAUUCUUAUAUUUGAACAGCACCAUAACAGCCUUUCAAAUUAUGUUUUUGGUGUUAAAUACAUAACUAAAAUACAUACAUAUAAGGGUAGCUGCAACCUUUACACUUGUGAAAUCGUGCAUGAAAAUCCAGCCUUUUGGCAACUUAAUUAGUCAGAUUAAAUGUAAUCUGUUACCUCGCUACUCACGCCUCGUCUCAUGAGGCCUCACGGAGGAUUUGUGAGGAAUUUGUGAGGUCCUUUCUUCGGUGUGUAGGCCCACCACCAUCUCCUCCACCUCCACCCACCCUCAGUGCAACGCGGUUGCAUUAUUAAAGUUGUAUAAGAUCAUUAGCAUACAAAGCAGGAAACCUACCGCGCUGGCGUCAUACAUAUUUAUCUGGACGUGCCUGACUUGUACGUGCAUACACUCAUACUGUAACCCCUUUACACACAGGCGUGACUGUCUUUCUGCUGCAGGAGUUCUGUGAACAGACACUAUGAAGUGGAUGUUACUACUGUAGAAGCACGACCAGUUUUAAAGGAUAGAUAUUUAUUUGAGCAGCAUCUGAAGAAAGACGAGUUAGUAUUUGCUAUAAACUAUAUAUUAAAGCUAGUGCAGCUGCCUGUAAGACUGAGAAAAUGUGUGUAUUUAGAAACGAGCAGAUGGAGUUUGGUUAGGUUCAUCAGAGCAGUUUGCUUCGAGCAUAUUAAAUAUAGUUUACACACAGAGGAAUAUACAUAUUCAUCUGCUGCACUCAGAAGCACAUAAUCAAACAGAGAGAAAGACAAACAGAGGGCAUGUUCUUGUCAAUACUUGCAUCACCCAUGGGUUAGCUCUGACUAUCGAAUGACUGUGAAAUCAUCUCCUUUUCUCUCUCCUUCCCUUGUUCCCUUCCUCUUCAAAUCCACCUUUUCUCCACAACCAUGCUAUCCCUGUUCGCUUUCCUUUUUGGAGAUCAUUUUCUACACUUUCUACCUUCCUGAUGACAGCACAAUCCCUCCUUUUUUUGACAAUGCGGAUUCCUCCGUUAAUAUCCCUUUCUCCUUCCUUCUUUUUCCUCCCUCCUGUGAGAUUGCUGUUGUGUCUUAUGGCUUUUUAUUCCUACGUGAUGGUAGAUGGGUUCAUGUAGGAGUAGAAGCCACUAAACACGCGGUGAGUGCUCAACGCGCUGGCCAACACACACAGCGAGCUUCCCGUGGAUAUGACAGCUGCCAUGUUCACAUCAAUGGUCCUGCCCAUUACCAAGAAUAUGCACACAGUUAAAAAAUAGUCCAGGGUAUUCACUGCAGGGAGUGGCUACUGUUUCAGAUUAUCUUUUCAGACCAGAUUUGUAAUGUGAAAAUUUUUUUUAAUGACUUAAUUAAAUGGUUAUUAUACUUAAUUGAACAGUUGGUUUUAAGACAAUAGAGCAGAAUGUUGAUGUAGGCUACGUGUGGUCUAACUAAUCAAUCUGAGCAAAUCUGAAGUUGUGAACAGACCUACUUUCCACCUGCAUGCUGGCUGCACGUGCCCUGAAUUUCAAACUCAAUCCUUUGCCCUGAGGUCGCUGUGCAAAACUGGAGCUGGAUAGCUCUCAAAAUAGAGAUCAGGAGGAGUGGAUGCCACAAUUUAGAUGGAACAACUUGCAGAGGUAGGUCAUCAAUGUUGUUUAAUAAUGUCCAGAAUCUGAAGGGACUACCUAUUCUCCCAUAAAGUGAAGGUGAGAACAUACAGAAAGCUGUUACAGGAUCGUUUGACACUUUCACCAACCUACAGAAGUGUGAAAAUAAACCCUCUCUUACAAAUAAAGCACAUUUACUACACAUGAAACACAUUUCACAUAAAUCAUUUCAUACAAACAAAGUCACAGUUUUGGACAUAUUUGGAAUUAUUGCACAUCAAAAAUAUGAAUUCCACAUGCUGUUGCUGUCCUGUGUCCAGUUUUCAGCUUUGUAAUCACAUUUGUGUUCAAUUCAGUUCAAUAUUUACUCAACUUUUAGCUCUGUUUUGGUCUCCACCAACUCCUGAGAGAAAUAUAUGUCCCUUUAGCUGCUAAAUGCGGCACUUUGUUCACCAGCUAGUCACUAACUGCGUCCGUCUGCAGUUUGGUGCUGCACAGGUAGUGUACAGUGGGUUUUUAGCGCUUAUUGGCUGACAAACAUUUGGAGAUUUGUGGUUUUUCAGUGACUAUAUGCUUUUUUGUAAAUUCCCAUUUACACUUGUUUUUGGUCAUUCAUUUCACAUAUGCGUGUAUGAGCUUAUAUGCUCACAUAAGGACUCUCUUCAGACCAGCACUGUUCCUUUAAAGCUUUUAGCACCAGACUGAGAAGUGUAACUGAGCUCAGUGUGAACCCCUUAAAUUCCUGUCUACUCAUAAAUUAGAUCCAGGCAAGCUUAAAUGGCUAAUAAUGGUAUUUAUCAGCAGUAACUUUAUGCCUGAACUGAACUCAGUGUCAACCAAUUAAGCACGAUAUUCAAAUGAUCCUGCUCCCGUUGGGUCCAGUUGGGUGCUGUGGGGUUUGACUUUAAAUGUCAACCUCCUGUUUGUUUUUUCUGUAAAAAAAGCUCCUCACUUUCUCCUCCUGAGCAGAAUCUGAAUAAAGCCUAAAUGGACUGUUGUCAGAAACCAGAAGCUGAUUUUGUAAUCCUGGGAUAUUACAAGAAUGUGACACAUGCUUGCAAUUGUGUGACAUUACUUCUGCGUUGUUAUGAGGUGGAUAAUUAUUCAAGAUGAAAUUGCAAUAGAUAUGGUCUGCUGAGGUUUAAUGAUUUAUUCAAGGCUGUAAGUUGUUAUGAUCUAAUAUUCAGCGCGGUGGGAUGGGAAGUUUCUUUUGCUUGCAUUAUCAGUUCAAUUUAUUUUUCAAGUUCUCACUCCUACAUAGAGUUCUUUAUAGAGACAUGAGGAGGUCUGAGAGAAUAGCAGAGCAGGAAAGACACAUAAGAGGAGGCUGAGAGAGGAUUCGAUCCUGGACCAGCGGGGAUCCAUGGGAAUCUAAAGGUGGGUAUCAACCAUUGUGGCAUCUGUGGGAAAGAGCCUGCAUUAUUUAAAACAGCUCUGGCAUAUGAAGGGGAAGUUGUGUUUGAAUAGAUUGUUGCCAUCCUCUGUUUUUUCGCCCGAGGGUGUGUACGCCUUAUCCCAGCGUUCCCCCGGUUUUGAUCUGACUGCUAUAAACCUCAUAUUUCUAAAAUGUCAAAAUGUUCGGCGAAAUAAAACAGCCUUAUUUUCAUUUUGACAGCCAUGCAUUUUUUUUAAAUCAUGCAAUGGAGUCCUCAGGUUAUGAAACUUGAUGGAGUUAUACAAGGUCACAUAAUCCUCAAGUUCAGGUAAAAACAUGAAAUUCAUCAGAAUUGGAGUAAUGGGGGUUUUUCAUCUGACAGCUGCAAUAAUGUAGUGUGUUUGUGUACAGUAGGCUUAAUGUAUGAGCGUUGUACUAUUGUAUCCACCGCCCUCAGGCUACACUUUCUUUAUGUAAUAAAUAAUGCUCUUUUGUGUUCUCUGCUUCAUUUGUUCCCUGUUGUAACGUCAGUGCUGCUCAAUAAAUUAUGAAUCACGCCUGUUCAACCUGCUGCA
Long non-coding RNA from Sander lucioperca (pikeperch), 4510 nucleotides. RefSeq lists it as uncharacterized. The record is from RefSeq and is a predicted model, not a curated record. Lineage: Eukaryota; Metazoa; Chordata; Actinopteri; Perciformes; Percidae. The transcript is spliced from 3 exons.